CCGCCGGGCGCCUCCCCCUGGAACGCCACGGCCGGUGGGCUCCCCGAUCCCCGCCCCCGGGCACCGUGUCUGCCCCAGCAGCGAGGGCCCCGCGCGGCUGGGGGAGCUGUCACCGCCGUCUGCGCGCCGUGCAGGGGCCGGCUUUCUGUGCGGAGUGGCCCGCGAGGGUAGGGGGGCGAGGUGUGGGUGGCGGGGCCCGGCCCGGCGCGAACUUCCCCGACGGAGUCCCAGCGCGGGCACGGCCGCAGGGGAAUGAGCGCCGCCCAAAACAACCGGCCCGCGGGGCAGGGCUCUCGGGACAACGUAAAGAGAAACCCCCCCGAGGCCCUUCCCGCGCGAGGGUACGCUGAGCUGGGGCCCCGGGGCCGCUCCGGCCCUCCGGCCGAGCCCCUCCGCACCCCGCCCCGCCGCUCCCGAGCCCGGGGGCCCGACAGCUGCGAGGAUGGCAACUCGGGUUUCGCAAACAGGGCGCAGCCCCUCGGAGGAAAAGUUCCCGCAGUGGCCGCGGGCGGCGGGCACAUACUCACUUUCUCCACUCGUCGGCCAGAGCGAGAGCGCGGCGGAGAAAAACAGNAAGAAAGAAAGAAAAAAAGAAAAAAGAAAAAAAAAGGAAAAAAAACGGGAAAGAAAAAGAAAAAGUCUCAAACUCAGUCUUCGCCCCCUCCGAAAACAGGGCGAAGGAAACAAUACUCCAAAGGCGGCGCCGGCCAGGGACCCUCCGGGUGCGCGGAGCGGGCGGGCGGCGGCGCGGGGCGGCCCCUCAGCGCCGGCAGCCUCGGCCCAGGGCUCGGCGGAGUCGGGAACCCGAGGCGCGCCGGGGCGGGCUGUCGGCGUCGUCGGCCUCCAUUUUCAAACCCAGAGAGGCAGAAGGGGGGGAAAACUGCACAGAAAGGGGGCAAAGCCCAAAUUCGUCUCGGCGAAGAAAAACAAACCCGACCCCAGGCAGAGAGGGAGGCUGUCCGACACCCGAGCCUCCGCGGCUGGAGGGCGCGACGCAGUUCGCAAGAUUGCCCCGAAGUCCGGGUCGCGGGCGAGGCCGGCCAGGGGCAGAAAUGCGGAGUAAAAAUGAAUGAGCGGCUCCCCCUCCUCCUCCUCCUCCGAGCUCCGCUCGCCGCCGCCUCCUCCCUCAGCGCCGCCGCCGCCGCCGCCGCGAGCUCCUUCCCAAAUCCAGAACACACACAAAGCGNNNNNNN
RNAcentral lists this long non-coding RNA (1193 nucleotides) under Ursus americanus (American black bear). RNAcentral's name for it is "lncRNA (ENSUAMG00000022244.1)". Lineage: Eukaryota; Metazoa; Chordata; Mammalia; Carnivora; Ursidae. The record is from RNAcentral.